RNAcentral lists this non-coding RNA (915 nucleotides) under Hesperoptenus tickelli (Tickell's bat). RNAcentral describes it as "partial 12S ribosomal RNA". It matches the Rfam family "Bacterial small subunit ribosomal RNA". The record is from RNAcentral. Lineage: Eukaryota; Metazoa; Chordata; Mammalia; Chiroptera; Vespertilionidae.
CAUAGGUUUGGUCCUGGCCUUUCUAUUAGUUAUCAGUAGACUUACACAUGCAAGAAUCCCCGCCCCUGUGAAAAUGCCCUUUAGGCCAUUAAAUGGCAAAAGGAGCCGGUAUCAAGCACACUAAAAGUAGCUCACAACACCUUGCUCAGCCACACCCCCACGGGAAACAGCAGUGAUAAAAAUUAAGCAAUAGGCGAAAGUCUGACUAAGUCAUACUACUAAGGACUGGUAAAUUUCGUGCCAGCCACCGCGGUCAUACGAUUGGGCCAAACUAAUAGACAUUCGGCGUAAAGAGUGUUUUAGAACUUCAACAAAUCAAUAAAGUCAAACCCUAACUAGGCUGUAAAAAGCCCUAGCUACUGGAAGAUAAGUAAUGAAAAUAACUUUAGAACAUCUGACUACACGAUAGCCAGGAUCCAAACUGGGAUUAGAUACCCCACUAUGCCUGGCCCUAAACAUAAAAAACUAUUAACAAAAUUCUUCGCCAGAGUACUACUAGCAAAAGCUAAAAACUCAAAGGACUUGGCGGUGCCUUACAUCCCUCUAGAGGAGCCUGUUCUAUAAUCGAUAAACCCCGAUAAACCUCACCAACUCUAGCCAAAUCAGCCUAUAUACCGCCAUCUCCAGCAAACCCUAAAAAGGAAGCACAGUAAGCACAAUCAUCAACAUAAAAACGUUAGGUCAAGGUGUAGCCAAUGAGUUGGGAAGAAAUGGGCUACAUUCCUCGGUUCGAGGAAAUACACGAAACCUCUUGUGAAACCAAGAGUCAAAGGUGGAUUUAGCAGUAAAUUAAGAAUAGAGCGCUUAAUUGAAUGAGGCCAUGAGGCACGCACACACCGCCCGUCACCCUCCUCAAGCAAAAUAUUAUAUUACUACAUAAGUUUYUAAUAAUCACCAACCUGCAAGAGGAGAUAA